Molecule: ribosomal RNA, 605 nt
Filed under: uncultured bacterium
Lineage: Bacteria
Description: bacterial SSU rRNA
Rfam family: Bacterial small subunit ribosomal RNA
Source: RNAcentral
CCUACGGGAGGCAGCAGUGGGGAAUAUUGCACAAUGGGCGAAAGCCUGAUGCAGCGACGCCGCGUGAGGGAUGACGGCCUUCGGGUUGUAAACCUCUUUCAGCAGGGAAGAAGCGAGAGUGACGGUACCUGCAGAAGAAGCGCCGGCUAACUACGUGCCAGCAGCCGCGGUAAUACGUAGGGCGCAAGCGUUGUCCGGAAUUAUUGGGCGUAAAGAGCUCGUAGGCGGCUUGUUGCGUCGGUUGUGAAAGCCCGGGGCUUAACCCCGGGUCUGCAGUCGAUACGGGCAGGCUAGAGUGUGGUAGGGGAGAUCGGAAUUCCUGGUGUAGCGGUGAAAUGCGCAGAUAUCAGGAGGAAUACCGGUGGCGAAGGCGGAUCUCUGGGCCAUUACUGACGCUGAGGAGCGAAAGCGUGGGGAGCGAACAGGAUUAGAUACCCUGGUAGUCCACGCCGUAAACGUUGGGAACUAGGUGUUGGCGACAUUCCACGUCGUCGGUGCCGCAGCUAACGCAUUAAGUUCCCCGCCUGGGGAGUACGGCCGCAAGGCUAAAACUCGAAAGUAGUAGUCGGACCGUGNGAGCGCGACGACGACGACGACGGAGGAGG